RNAcentral lists this ribosomal RNA (253 nucleotides) under uncultured bacterium. Its description in RNAcentral is "partial 16S ribosomal RNA". It matches the Rfam family "Bacterial small subunit ribosomal RNA", at positions 524 to 776 of the family's 1533-position model. The record is from RNAcentral.
UACGGAGGGUGCAAGCGUUAUCCGGAUUCACUGGGUUUAAAGGGUGCGUAGGUGGGCAGGUAAGUCAGUGGUGAAAUCUCCGAGCUUAACUCGGAAACUGCCAUUGAUACUAUCUGUCUUAAAUUAUCUGGAGGUGAGCGGAAUAUGUCAUGUAGCGGUGAAAUGCUUAGAUAUGACAUAGAACACCAAUUGCGAAGGCAGCUCACUACGGAUAUAUUGACACUGAGGCACGAAAGCGUGGGGAUCAAACAGG